UACGUAGGGUGCAAGCGUUAAUCGGAAUUACUGGGCGUAAAGCGUGCGCAGGCGGCUUUGCAAGACAGAUGUGAAAUCCCUCGGCUUAACCGGGGAACUGCGUCUGAUACUGGAUGGCUUGAGGUUGGGAGAGGGAUGCGGAAUUCCAGGUGUAGCGGUGAAAUGCGUAGAUAUCUGGAGGAACACCGGUGGCGAAGGCGGCAUCCUGGACCAAUUCUGACGCUGAGGAGCGAAAGCCAGGGGAGCAAACGGG
RNAcentral lists this ribosomal RNA (253 nucleotides) under uncultured bacterium. Its description in RNAcentral is "partial 16S ribosomal RNA". It matches the Rfam family "Bacterial small subunit ribosomal RNA", at positions 524 to 776 of the family's 1533-position model. The record is from RNAcentral.